AGAAAUAAAAUGUUCAGCUCUCUGCCAAUGAAAGGUGUUGAACAGGUGGGUGCACUCUGGCCAGAGGGCAUUCAGCUCCACAAGUGAUGUCUGGAUUGCAUUUAAAUCCUUUCCCUGUUACAUCUGCCUCUCCCUUCUUUGCCUCUGGAGCUCUGCAGCCUUCUCUGGAUGCUGUUUCAGGCAAACAGCACGUGAAACAAGCCUGCAGCUGUGACUCCUCAGGCAUCGUAUGCACAACGAGGACAUUCAUGCAGCCGGACGAAAUUGGAAACGGCACACUGAAGCAGGAAGAUUUCUGGUUCGCCAGAGAUGUUUUGCUUUCCUCCUUCUUGCCUGUCCUGAAAUUUAAGAAGUUCCUGGUGUGAGCAAAGGACUGAUCUUUUGGAAGGGACAGAUGUGGAGUGUUAUUUAUUUGUAGGCUUGAAGGCCUUUGAUACCAUUUUGUGGCAGAACAUUUUCAUUUUUAUCUCCUUGACCUGGGUUUUUUUCCUUUUUGUGUGUGUUUUGAGUAUAAACAAUGUUACGCAUUCUCAAGUAUAACUAAUAACUCUUGA
This 554-nucleotide long non-coding RNA is filed under the name Anser brachyrhynchus (Pink-footed goose). RNAcentral's name for it is "lncRNA (ENSABRG00000018370.1)". The record is from RNAcentral. Lineage: Eukaryota; Metazoa; Chordata; Aves; Anseriformes; Anatidae.